Molecule: ribosomal RNA, 464 nt
Filed under: uncultured bacterium
Lineage: Bacteria
Description: partial 16S ribosomal RNA
Rfam family: Bacterial small subunit ribosomal RNA
Source: RNAcentral
ACGAACGCUGGCGGCGUGCUUAACCCAUGCAAGUCGAACGGAAAGGCCCCUUUGGGGGUACUCGAGUGGCGAACGGGUGAGUAACACGUGAGUAACCUGCCCUUGACUUCGGGAUAACUUCAGGAAACUGGGGCUAAUACCGGAUAGGAAUCCUUGCUGCAUGGUGGGGGUUGGAAAGCUUCGGCGGUUUUGGAUGGACUCGCGGCUUAUCAGCUUGUUGGUGGGGUAGUGGCUUACCAAGGCUUUGACGGGUAGCCGGCCUGAGAGGGCGACCGGCCACAUUGGGACUGAGAUACGGCCCAGACUCCUACGGGAGGCAGCAGUGGGGAAUAUUGCACAAUGGGCGGAAGCCAGAUGCAGCAACGCCGCGUGCGGGAUGACGGCCUUCGGGUUGUAAACCGCUUUCAGCAGGGGCGAAGCUUGUGGUGACGGUACCUGCAGAAGAAGCACCGGCUAACUACGUG